CCUACGGGGGACAGCAGUAGGGAAUUUUCGUCAAUGGGCGCAAGCCUGAACCAGCGAUGCCGCGUGAGUGAAGAAGGCCUUCGGGUCGUAAAGCUCUGUUUCUGGGGAAAAAAAGCAGCAUCAGGUAAUGGUUGCUCACUGUUUGUGCCCCGCCAGACAGUCACGGCUAACUACGUGCGAGCAGCCGCUGUAAUACGUAGGGGGCGAGCGUUAUCCGGAAUGAUUGGUCGUAAAGGGUGCGGAGGCGGUCCUGCAAGUCUGGAGUGAAACGCAUGAGCUCAACUCAUGAAUGGCAUUUGAAACUGGAGGACUGGAGAGCAGGAGAGGGCGGCGGAACUCAAGGUGUAGCGGUAAAAUGCGUAGAUAUAGGGAAGAACACCAGUGGCGAAGGCGGCCGACUGGGCUGUAGCUGACGCUGAGGCACGAAAGCGUGGGGAGCAAAUAGGAUUAGAUACCCUAGUAGUC
RNAcentral lists this ribosomal RNA (465 nucleotides) under uncultured bacterium. RNAcentral describes it as "partial 16S ribosomal RNA". It matches the Rfam family "Bacterial small subunit ribosomal RNA", at positions 338 to 795 of the family's 1533-position model. The record is from RNAcentral.